CGAAUCCUGAAAUGUUUACUAAACAAAUAACAAGUUUUGACCGAACAAUAAAUCGUAGGGAGCUCAAAUUUCUACUUGGCAAACAUGCCUGCAUCAGUACGGGAAGUUUAAAAAGCAGAAGAGGGCACCCACCUGUAAGCAACGGGUUCAAAACAGAUUUGAAAGAAACGUGGCACUUUGGGAUUCGU
Molecule: non-coding RNA, 188 nt
Filed under: Ureibacillus massiliensis 4400831 = CIP 108448 = CCUG 49529
Lineage: Bacteria; Bacillati; Bacillota; Bacilli; Caryophanales; Caryophanaceae
Description: Lysinibacillus massiliensis 4400831 = CIP 108448 = CCUG 49529 6S / SsrS RNA
Rfam family: 6S / SsrS RNA
About the family: E. coli 6S RNA was the first non coding RNA to be sequenced, but its function was unknown until recently.
Source: Rfam by way of RNAcentral